RNAcentral lists this ribosomal RNA (864 nucleotides) under uncultured crenarchaeote. RNAcentral's name for it is "bacterial SSU rRNA". It matches the Rfam family "Archaeal small subunit ribosomal RNA", at positions 51 to 923 of the family's 1478-position model. Lineage: Archaea; Thermoproteati; Thermoproteota. The record is from RNAcentral.
AUGCGAGUCAUUGUAGCAAUACAAGGCAUACGGCUCAGUAACGCGUAGUCAACCUAACCUAUGGACGGGAAUAACCUCGGGAAACUGAGAAUAAUGCCCGAUAGAACACUAUGCCUGGAAUGGUUUGUGUUCCAAAUGAUUUAUCGCCGUAGGAUGGGACUGCGGCCUAUCGGUUUGUUGGUGAGGUAAUGGCCCACCAAGACUAUUACAGGUACGGGCUCUGAGAGGAGUAGCCCGGAGAUGGGUACUGAGACACGGACCCAGGCCCUAUGGGGCGCAGCAGGCGAGAAAACUUUGCAAUGUGCGAAAGCACGACAAGGUUAAUCCGAGUGGUUUGUGCUAAACAGACCUUUUGUUAGUCCUAGAAACACUAACGAAUAAGGGGUGGGCAAGUCUGGUGUCAGCCGCCGCGGUAAAACCAGCACCUCAAGUGGUCAGGAUGAUUAUUGGGCCUAAAGCAUCCGUAGCCGGCUCUGUAAGUUUUCGGUUAAAUCUGUAUGCUCAACAUACAGGCUGCCGGGAAUACUGCAGAGCUAGGGAGUGGGAGAGGUAGACGGUACUCGGUAGGAAGGGGUAAAAUCCUUUGAUCUAUUGAUGACCACCUGUGGCGAAGGCGGUCUACCAGAACACGUCCGACGGUGAGGGAUGAAAGCUGGGGGAGCAAACCGGAUUAGAUACCCGGGUAGUCCCAGCUGUAAACUAUGCAAACUCAGUGAUGCAUUGGCUGUGGCCAAUGCAGUGCUGCAGGGAAGCCGUUAAGUUUGCCGCCUGGGAAGUACGUACGCAAGUAUGAAACUUAAAGGAAUUGGCGGGGGAGCACCACAAGGGGUGAAGCCUGCGGUUCAAUUGGAUUCAACGCCGGAA